RNAcentral lists this non-coding RNA (86 nucleotides) under human gut metagenome. RNAcentral describes it as "Glycine riboswitch". It matches the Rfam family "Glycine riboswitch aptamer", at positions 8 to 87 of the family's 94-position model. From Rfam's summary of the family: This family represents the bacterial glycine riboswitch. The record is from RNAcentral. RNAcentral also lists the same sequence under 2 other names.
ACACUCCGGAGAAGUCCAUUUUGGAUACCGAAGGUGCAAGGCGGUUCGCUGGAACCGCUCAAUCUCUCAGGUAAAAGGACGGAGUA